RNAcentral lists this ribosomal RNA (448 nucleotides) under uncultured bacterium. Its description in RNAcentral is "SSU rRNA". It matches the Rfam family "Bacterial small subunit ribosomal RNA", at positions 26 to 518 of the family's 1533-position model. The record is from RNAcentral.
AGGACGAACGCUGGCGGCAUGCUUAACACAUGCAAGUCGCACGACGGUUUCGGCCGUAGUGGCGGACGGGUGAGUAACGCGUAGGUAUCUAUCCUUGGGUGGGGGAUAACCGUGGGAAACUGCGGCUAAUACCGCAUGACACCUGUGGGUCAAAGGCGCAAGUCGCCUGGGGAGGAGCCUGCGUACGAUUAGCUAGUUGGUGGGGUAAAGGCCUACCAAGGCUACGAUCGUUAGCUGGUCUGAGAGGAUGAUCAGCCACAUUGGGACUGAGACACGGCCCAAACUCCUACGGGAGGCAGCAGUGGGGAAUAUUGGACAAUGGGCGCAAGCCUGAUCCAGCAAUGCCGCGUGGGUGAAGAAGGUUUUCGGAUUGUAAAGCCCUUUCGGCGGGGACGAUGAUGACGGUACCCGCAGAAGAAGCCCCGGCUAACUUCGUGCCAGCAGCCGC